AACGAACGCUGGCGGCAUGCCUAACACAUGCAAGUCGAACGAGAUCUUCAGGUCUAGUGGCGCACGGGUGCGUAACGCGUGGGAAUCUGCCCUUUGGUUCGGAAUAACAGUUGGAAACGACUGCUAAUACCGGAUGAUGACGAAAGUCCAAAGAUUUAUCGCCAGAGGAUGAGCCCGCGUAGGAUUAGCUAGUGGGUGUGGUAAAGGCGCACCAAGGCGACGAUCCUUAGCGGGUCUGAGAGGAUGAUCAGCCACACUGGGACUGAGACACGGCCCAGACUCCUACGGGAGGCAGCAGUGGGGAAUAUUGGACAAUGGGCGAAAGACUGAUCCAGCAAUGCCGCGUGAGUGAUGAAGGCCUUAGGGUUGUAAAGCUCUUUUACCCGGGAUGAUAAUGACAGUACCGGGAGAAUAAGCUCCGGCUAACUCCGUGCCAGCCGCCGCGGUAA
Molecule: ribosomal RNA, 449 nt
Filed under: uncultured bacterium
Lineage: Bacteria
Description: partial 16S ribosomal RNA
Rfam family: Bacterial small subunit ribosomal RNA
Source: RNAcentral